CUUUGGGUCUUCUCUGAAAACAGAUAACUAAGAAUUGAAUUUACAACUUGCUAUUCUCUUAGCUUCCUUCAAGUUCCAGCAUGUCUGGCCAGUUUUUUCAGCCACUCUUGCAAGGAGUUUCCUGUUCUAAAAAACAGGAUGACAGUUUCUGCAGGUGACAAAGAUCACAGGUAACGAAUGGAAGAACAUGACUGAUGACCAAAAAGCACCCUAUGAAGCAAUUGCAGCAAAGAACAAGUAACAGUAUGUUCAAGAAAUGGAGGUUUACAGAAAGAUGAGGAGGAGGAAGCUGCCAGCCACAAGAAAGAAGAGGAGGAGAUGAUCAAGCUCAAUAAGCAGGAAGCUAUGCAAUUGCUAAAGAAGAUAGAGAAGACAGAAAAUAUCAUUAAGAAAAAAGAGAAUCAAAGAAAGAAACAGAAGGAAGAGAAGAAUGUAGAUCCCAACAGGCCAAAGAAGCAGGCUUCCUCAUUCCUUCUGUUCAGCAAAGAGGAAAGGAAGAAGAUAGUGGAAGAGAAGCCUGGAACUAACAAUACAACAGUUAAUGCUCUCAUUUCUCUCAAAUGGAAGGUAUAAAAUGAUUUGAACUCUCUGAAAGAUGCACGGGAAGAUAUAUUAUAAUUAACCGUCUCAUUGCAUGUAUUAAAUGAUAUAAUUUAAGUAACAUACAAUUCAUAAUUUACAUUUCCACUAUAAAUGUCCCAAAAAUUAGCAAAAAUACUACCAAAAAUAAAUUCAAAUGAAAGGUUGUUGAUAUUAAAAAAAAAAAAACCAAUCAAUAAUUAUAGUUCAAAGUAUAUAUAUCAUAUUUUAUGUUUAGAAUAAUUUUAUUCAGAUCUCUUGAAUAUUUAAAAAUUAGCGCAUCUAUAUAUUUUUUUUCAGACAUUAGUAACAACAUGUCUCUAAUAACGGUGGAUCAUAUCAUAUUGUGCAGUCCGUAUUUGUAGCUCUUUUGAUGCUACUCAGUUGUGUCCGUAUUUGUAGCUCUUUUGAUGCUACUCAGUUGUUUUUCAAUCACUCUUGCAAGGAGUUCCGUGAACUGACAAACAGGUUAGUUUUCCUAUUUUUGCAGCUUAAAUGCUAAUAUUUCAAUCACUGGAUUGUUCUUCCUUUCUCCAGCUAAAUGACUUACUCCUCUCUUUUUUGCUUAGCUAUCACAGUAAUUGUACACCGUUAAUGUGUAUUGAUUUUGUUUCAAGGUUGUCUGGUGGUAACCUGGCUUCUAAUAUUCCUCCUAAUGAUGUCUUGGUUACUUCUAUUGAAGAUAUCUACUUAAAAAAGCAGGUACUAAUUAUGUCUACACUUAAUGUUUAUGUUUACUAGGUGUAUACUUUCACAUACUGUUUUGAUAUACUUUUAAUUGUGUCAUGUUAUCUAAAAGCAAUCAAAUGUGAUAUCUAAAAGCAAUCAAAUAUCUAAUAUUACCAACAAGAACAUGUAGCAUCUAUUUAAAAGCAAUAAAUAUAUUCUAAAUUUUAUUUUUACCUAUCAAUCUGUACUAAUUUUUUUUAAUUCCAAUUAACAGCUAGGAGAGUAUCGGGUAGCAGGUUGCAUUGUUGAUGUGGAAAGUGUGGCUGAUUGAUAUUACAUCUCUUGCAAGUCUAAUUCUUGCAAGAGAAAGGUGACCGAGUGUGGUGGAAUGCUGUUUUGUAUGUAUAUAGAUCACUAUAUAUGUAUUUGUGUUUGAAAAAAAACAUAUAAAAUUUAAUCAUUUUGUUGAUCAAUAUUUUCUUCAAAUGUAUUUGUAAUGCAAAA
This is an RNA transcript of Ipomoea triloba (trilobed morning glory), 1752 nucleotides long. It is a transcript of the gene named high mobility group B protein 6-like, with no coding region annotated. The record is from RefSeq and is a predicted model, not a curated record. The transcript has 5 exons. NCBI's taxonomy places the organism in Eukaryota, Viridiplantae, Streptophyta, Magnoliopsida, Solanales, Convolvulaceae.